AUAAACUAACAUCAAAGGCUCCUGUGUUAGUUUGGACACUCCUAAAAGCAGACUCUAGACAGGACUGGAUGCACAAGAGACUUAUUGGAAGGAAGUGGCUGGAAGGAUGAAGGGAGGGGGAUGGAGAAGGCAGGCAGAGACAGGCACCAGUGAGAGAAAGUGGAUACUCAGGGGUGAGAGGACACUCAUCCAACCUGGAGUGCAAGUGUUUUCACCUCACUAGUGUGUGUCAUGCCACUCAGGAUGGUUGUUCUCCUGCUGCCUGUCCAUCCCCUACCCAACCUGUGCCUGCUUUACCCCGUGCACACGGCUGACCUUCCUAGGUACUUGCCCCAGGCCCCAGCUGGUAAGAGCUCAUCAAACGGGUAGUGGGGACAUACCUCUCUGAUGAUUUCCCUGGUAACUAAUUAGCCAACCUGAUGUAAUUCCCCAUAUAACCGGUAAUCUCCCCUUCCCCGACAGGAAGGGGGUGUUACGGCCACCAUGUCCUGCCUACCAUCCACCGCACAGGGUGGGGUGUCGCUCCAGGACCUUGCUUCAGUCCUAUAAGCUCCCUCAUCCAUUAAACCAUUGAUGUCUCUAUUACUGACUCCAGGUUCUUCCUUCAGUCUUGAAACUGGACAAGCACGGGGCCUUGUAGGUCUGUGGACCCCCAAACGAGCCACGGACUCCCUGACCUUUCUGAUCAGCCCAUUGUCAUCACCGUAAUGGGUCAGUGGGAGCAGGUCCACUAUGUGGCUGAGCUUGGGGCAUGGUGCUCUCUAUCUUCAGGACCCAUCGUGUUUCUGUAGAGGCCAGAAUGUUGCCCAAAUGGAAAUAUGAUAGGGACCACAAGCCCUGCAUCCUUUAGGUAUUUAGUGGAGGCGCCAUUCCUCCCAGGAGGAGACAAUGUCAAUCAGUUAUGCACCUGAAAUUUGGCUUCGGUCUGGGAACCGAGCAGAGAAUUUUGACUUUGUAUUGGAAUUACUGUCCUCAGCCUCCUGCUCCCCUGUUCAUCCUUUUUCAGGCUGUAGAUUUUUACAGCAGCCUUUCUGGCCGCCAUCCGUUUUGCUCCUGGGAACGAUAUGCUCUAUUAACCAUCUACAAAACUCCCUGAAGCUCAAGUCCCCUUGGCUUCCUUCUGUACCUGCCAGUUAUUACGGUAAUUAUGUUCUCCUGGCUUCUGGCAGUUAAGUACUGCUACCUAACCUCUAAUAAUUCAAGGUUCAUCCCCACAGAUACCAACAAGCUCAGGUCUGUCAGCUACAUGGCUGCCUCUCCCACUAUAAGCCCUGGCCUGCUGAGGAGAGCUCCCACUAAACUGCUAUCCUUUUCAUCAGUGCAUUACUGGUGGCCUUGGUGAACUGUAUGUCCUCUGGACCUUCCUGAAAAACAGAGUGCUCUGCUAGAUCUUCUGACCUCACACAAUACAUCCAUGCUGGCAUGCCCACAUCCCUCAGUCUCUUUAUUCCUUUCUCUACCAUCUUCCAGGACCCAAGCAUUUGCACUUAAACUGGGCCAUCACUUUCUCUAGGUUUUAAAUAAACACCCCAGUAGAGAGUUUGCCUCAUCUUCUAGAGCCCUUGCCAGGGUAGGUGUUAAAUUCAGUGUCUUGAGAGAUUUCCCCCAAGUCAAUGAAGUCUUGAAUAUCCACUCUUAACAUUCCAUUGUCCUUGAUCAUAUAUCCUCAAAAUCCAGUACUGGUACAGACUGGCCAGUUUUGUAGCUCCUUCCAAUAUAUGACCUCUUCUUUCUCUUACCUGGCCAAUGGAUUUUUCAAUUGACUAUCUGUCUUCAAUACAGGAGAUAAAGUAGGAGUGGCUCUUAAAGGGGGUGCCUCUUGCCUUGUUGGGAAGACGUGUCGGCUGCAUCUUCCAGUCUAGAGGGAAUGUUAGCUCUUACGAGGUAGGGAACUUGCUGCAAGCUCUGAGGGCUGUCAAGGGGGCCGGGGGUAUGUAUAGAGCCAACACUCUCAUACUUUUUAGCAUACUUCCCAAGGCCCUCAUCUGAUUUUUCAGAGUCUCGACCUUUUCCAAGCUAUCUCACUAUUGUCUAUAUCUUAGGAGCUCCAGCUUCAGCAGUCAGAUCUCUGGUCAGCUUCUCAGCAGAGUCAGCCCUCCCAUCAUAGGAAAAAAGGUACUAAUAAAGCCCUCUGGUUCUCACACUUACUUUUAAAUGCCUGUUAAAAGUACUCAGUUUUCCAUUAUCCUUGUGCAGGGUAUCAACAUAGUUUAGCAGUCACUGACCAACUUCUUUGUUCCACAGACAUUGCACUCUCAUAUUUUUCAAAAGCUUGAAUCUUGCACCAACCAAGAUAUUCCCCUCCACCAGGGAGCUUCCCCAGGUCACUACUUGUGAAAUAUUUAGCACCUGCAAUACCACCUUAGGCCAGAAAACACCUCUGUACUAUACACCACUCAUGACAGCAUCCUUAUUGGUCACAGAGCAAUGAGCAAGCCAGUCCCAGAUGCCACCUUACUGCAUUUUUCACCACUUAUGUUAGUUCUGCUCCAGUGAGAAGCAUAUGUCAAAAUGGGAUUUGAUUUAAUGGAGGAGAUGCCAAUUAAGAAUUAAGGGGAAGAUACCACAGAAGGCAGGGAGAGCCUUUUGGCCUAUAUACAAGUCUGAAGCCUGUGAAGGUGAGGAGAUCUUGAGAAAGCAAAGGGAAGUGAGUAGUAAGAGCUUCAGACUGCAGCACAGUUCUAUGAAAAUGUUGGCCAAUUUGAUGUUCUCAAGAAAAUAUGCCUAUUAAAAGUCUUGUUGUUUAGGAAUAGUCUUGCAUUAGUUCCUUAACCAUGUUUCUGUAUUAGUUGGAAGAAACCAUGGGAAACCUGGUCCUAGCAUGCCACUCAGAAGGGUGGCAGUUAAUGCCACCAGUCAAUCAUAUUCUCUGCAGCAGGAGAUCUGGGUGGCACAUUUUCAUGGUACCACACCCUCCCUGAUACUGUAGGUCCUCAAGACCUACCUGACAUUGAUUUUUUUUUUCUUUUUACACCUGCACCUCU
RNAcentral lists this long non-coding RNA (2984 nucleotides) under Sus scrofa (pig). Its description in RNAcentral is "lncRNA (ENSSSCG00015013732.1)". Lineage: Eukaryota; Metazoa; Chordata; Mammalia; Artiodactyla; Suidae. The record is from RNAcentral.